GACGAACGCUGGCGGCGUGCUUAACACAUGCAAGUCGAACGCUGAAGCCCAGCUUUUGUUGGGUGGAUGAAUGGCGAACGGGUGAGUAACACGUGAGUAACCUGCCCCCUUCUUUGGGAUAACGCCCGGAAACGGGUGCUAAUACUGGAUAUUCACUGGUCUUCGCAUGGGGGUUGGUGGAAAGGGUUUUUCUGGUGGGGGAUGGGCUCGCGGCUUAUCAGCUUGUUGGUGGGGUGAUGGCCUACCACGGCUUUGACGGGUAGCCGGCCUGCGAGGGUGACCGGUCACGUUGGGACUGAGAUACGGCCCAGACUCCUACGGGAGGCAGCAGUGGGGAAAAUUGCGCAAUAGGCGCAAGCCUGGUGCAGCGACGCAGGGUGAGGGAUGGAGGCCUGCGGGUUGUGAACCGCUUUCGCUCAUGGUCAAGCCGCAACAAUGGUUGUGGUGAGGGUAGUGAGUAAAGAAGCGCCGGCUAACUACGUG
Molecule: ribosomal RNA, 483 nt
Filed under: uncultured bacterium
Lineage: Bacteria
Description: partial 16S ribosomal RNA
Rfam family: Bacterial small subunit ribosomal RNA
Source: RNAcentral